Molecule: transfer RNA, 87 nt
Organism: Plicaturopsis crispa FD-325 SS-3
Lineage: Eukaryota; Fungi; Basidiomycota; Agaricomycetes; Amylocorticiales; Amylocorticiaceae
Rfam family: tRNA
About the family: Transfer RNA (tRNA) molecules are approximately 80 nucleotides in length. Their secondary structure includes four short double-helical elements and three loops (D, anti-codon, and T loops).
Source: Rfam
UCUUUGAUAGUAUAAUGGUCAGUACGCCCGCUUGUCAUCACGUGACCCAGAACGCGGGAGACCUGGGUUCAAUUCCCAGUCAGAGAG